RNAcentral lists this ribosomal RNA (503 nucleotides) under uncultured bacterium. RNAcentral's name for it is "partial 16S ribosomal RNA". It matches the Rfam family "Bacterial small subunit ribosomal RNA", at positions 30 to 523 of the family's 1533-position model. The record is from RNAcentral.
AUUGAACGCUGGCGGCAGGCUUAACACAUGCAAGUCGAGCGGGGUGAUGGUGCUUGCACUAUCACUUAGCGGCGGACGGGUGAGUAAUGCUUAGGAAUCUGCCUAUUAGUGGGGGACAACAUCUCGAAAGGGAUGCUAAUACCGCAUACGUCCUACGGGAGAAAGCAGGGGACCACUUGUGACCUUGCGCUAAUAGAUGAGCCUAAGUCGGAUUAGCUAGUUGGUGGGGUAAAGGCCUACCAAGGCGACGAUCUGUAGCGGGUCUGAGAGGAUGAUCCGCCACACUGGGACUGAGACACGGCCCAGACUCCUACGGGAGGCAGCAGUGGGGAAUAUUGGACAAUGGGGGGAACCCUGAUCCAGCCACGCCGCGUGUGUGAAGAAGGCCUUAUGGUUGUAAAGCACUUUAAGCGAGGAGGAGGCUCUUUUGGUUAAUACCCAAGAUGAGUGGACGUUACUCGCAGAAUAAGCACCGGCUAACUCUGUGCCAGCCGCCGCCGUAA